ACGCACGCUGGCGGCGUGCUUAACACCUGCAAGUCGCACGGAAAGGCCCUGCUUUUGUGGGGUGCUCGAGUGGCGAACGGGUGAGUAACACGUGAGUAACCUGCCCUUGACUUUGGGAUAACUUCAGGAAACUGGGGCUAAUACCGGAUAGGAGCUCCUGCUGCAUGGUGGGGGUUGGAAAGUUUCGGCGGUUGGGGAUGGACUCGCGGCUUAUCAGCUUGUUGGUGGGGUAGUGGCUUACCAAGGCUUUGACGGGUAGCCGGCCUGAGAGGGUGACCGGCCACAUUGGGACUGAGAUACGGCCCAGACUCCUACGGGAGGCAGCAGUGGGGAAUAUUGCACAAUGGGCGGAAGCCUGAUGCAGCAACGCCGCGUGCGGGAUGACGGCCUUCGGGUUGUAAACCGCUUUCGCCUGUGACGAAGCGUGAGUGACGGUAAUGGGUAAAGAAGCACCGGCGAACUACGU
Molecule: ribosomal RNA, 466 nt
Filed under: uncultured bacterium
Lineage: Bacteria
Description: partial 16S ribosomal RNA
Rfam family: Bacterial small subunit ribosomal RNA
Source: RNAcentral